This 326-nucleotide unclassified non-coding RNA is filed under the name Oceanospirillum linum. RNAcentral describes it as "Long range pseudoknot". The record is from RNAcentral. Lineage: Bacteria; Pseudomonadati; Pseudomonadota; Gammaproteobacteria; Oceanospirillales; Oceanospirillaceae. RNAcentral also lists the same sequence under 1 other name.
ACGGAAGAUGGGGAUUAUCAGGUAAAACUGCGCAACCUGAUACGUUUCCUGGAAGAUGGUGACAGAGCGAAGAUCACACUGCGUUUCCGCGGUCGUGAGAUGGCUCACCAAGAACUGGGUAUGAAAUUGAUGAAACGCAUCGAAGAAGACCUGGGGGAUAUGAUUGUCGUUGAGUCUCGUCCGAGACUGGAAGGCCGUCAAAUGGUGAUGCUGCUGUCGCCGAAGAAGAAAAAGUAAUCCUGGUUCGAUAUUUAAACCGCUUCGCUUGAUAGCUUUGCUAUCAGGCUUGGCGGCUUAGUGUUGUUUAUCAGAUAAAAAAACUUGAA